GGACUACUCGGGUAUCUAAUCCUGUUUGAUCCCCACGCUUUCGAGCCUAAGUGUCAGUGUUGGGCCAGAUGCCCGCCUUCGCCACCGGUGUUCCUCCUGAUCUCUACGUAUUUCACCACUACACCAGGAAUUCUAGCAUCCUCUCCCACACUCAAGUUUCGCAGUAUCAAAAGCACUUCCAGGGUUAAGCCCUGGGCUUUCACUCCUGACUUACAAAACCACCUGCGCUCGCUUUACGCCCAAUGAUUCCGAGCAACGCUUGGGACCUUCGUAUUACCGCGGCUGCUGGCAC
RNAcentral lists this ribosomal RNA (292 nucleotides) under uncultured bacterium. RNAcentral's name for it is "partial 16S ribosomal RNA". The record is from RNAcentral.